RNAcentral lists this ribosomal RNA (498 nucleotides) under uncultured bacterium. Its description in RNAcentral is "partial 16S ribosomal RNA". It matches the Rfam family "Bacterial small subunit ribosomal RNA", at positions 28 to 523 of the family's 1533-position model. The record is from RNAcentral.
GAUGAACGCUAGCUACAGGCUUAACACAUGCAAGUCGAGGGGUAGCAGGGUAGCAAUACCGCUGACGACCGGCGCACGGGUGAGUAACACGUAUCCAACCUUCCCAUAACUCAGGAAUAGCCUUUCGAAAGAAAGAUUAAUACCUGAUAGCACUUAAGAAAGGCAUCUUUUUUAAGUUAAAGAUUUAUCGGUUAUGGAUGGGGAUGCGUUCCAUUAGAUAGUUGGUGAGGUAACGGCUCACCAAGUCUUCGAUGGAUAGGGGUUCUGAGAGGAAGGUCCCACACAUGGGUACUGAGACACGGACCAAACUCCUACGGGAGGCAGCAGUGAGGAAUAUUGGUCAAUGGGCGAGAGCCUGAACCAGCCAAGUAGCGUGAAGGAUGAAGGUCCUAUGGAUUGUAAACUUCUUUUAUAGUAGAAUAAAGUGAGCCACGUGUGGUUUUUUGUAUGUAUACUAUGAAUAAGGAUCGGCUAACUCCGUGCCAGCAGCCGCGGUAA